RNAcentral lists this ribosomal RNA (445 nucleotides) under uncultured bacterium. RNAcentral describes it as "partial 16S ribosomal RNA". It matches the Rfam family "Bacterial small subunit ribosomal RNA", at positions 354 to 796 of the family's 1533-position model. The record is from RNAcentral.
GUGAGGAAUAUUGGUCAAUGGACGAGAGUCUGAACCAGCCAAGUCGCGUGAAGGAAGACGGUUCUAUGAAUUGUAAACUUCUUUUGUGCAGGAAUAAAGUGGGUUACGUGUAACCUUUUGUAUGUACUGUACGAAUAAGGAUCGGCUAACUCCGUGCCAGCAGCCGCGGUAAUACGGAGGAUCCGAGCGUUAUCCGGAUUUAUUGGGUUUAAAGGGUGCGUAGGUGGAUUGAUAAGUCAGCGGUGAAAGUUUGCAGCUUAACUGUAAAAUUGCCGUUGAAACUGUCGGUCUUGAGUGCAAAUGAGGUAGUCGGAAUGUGUUGUGUAGCGGUGAAAUGCUUAGAUAUAACACAGAACUCCGAUUGCGAAGGCAGCUUACUGGGAUGCAACUGACACUGAUGCACGAAAGCGUGGGUAUCAAACAGGAUUAGAAACCCUAGUAGUCC